This is a long non-coding RNA of Cucumis melo (muskmelon), 4298 nucleotides long. RefSeq lists it as uncharacterized. The record is from RefSeq and is a predicted model, not a curated record. NCBI's taxonomy places the organism in Eukaryota, Viridiplantae, Streptophyta, Magnoliopsida, Cucurbitales, Cucurbitaceae. The transcript is spliced from 2 exons.
UUUAAAGUUUAAGAUUGAGCAUUCUGGUGUUCCAUUUAGGGCUGCUUAAGUCGCAUUCGCAUGCUGCAAUGCGAGGGUCAAAACACAUUGCGGGGCGGGGCGUGACACUUUCUCUCUUUCCCUUCUCCGAAUCCGUCAUGCUUAUGUUUUGAAUUGUUGGUUUUGAAUUCCUUCAAAACCCUCCUUGAUUUCAUUGAAGGUUUGAUUUUUCGAACCCUACUCCUUAUUUGAAAGCUAGAUCUGAAACCCUUCUUCUUCUUUAUCCUUGGUUUCACGCAAGGAUUUCCCCUUGCCUCUCCGAUUUCCCCUUGCCUCUCCGAUUUCCCUUUGCCGCUCAUACCUCCCCCUUGCCACUCGUAUGUCUACCAAGAAAAGACUAUCAACUUUUGAAAUUUUCAUCGUUGGUGUUCAUACCAUAUGGGAUCUGGAGAAUAGUAAGGGUUUGACUUCGAUCUGAGCAGGGUUUGGGGGAAGCGAACACGAGUAGGUUGCUAAUCCAUAGAGAUAAUCAGAGAAGGUAUUUCAAUCUCUCGUCCUUCUGUACUUGAUGGCAAAAACUAUUCUAACUGAAAGCCUCGCAUGAUAUUAUUUCUCAAAACUCUUGAUGGAACGACUUGAAGAGCUAUUGUAGCUAGAUGAGAACCACCAAUGAUCAUCGUAGAUGGUCAGUCCAUUCCUAAAUCUGAAGUUGAUUGGACUGAUGCUGAAGAACAAGCCUCUAUGGGAAAUUCUAGAGCCAUUAAUGCUAUCUUUAAUGUGUUGACUUGAAUGUGUUUAAAUUGAUUAACUAUUGUAGUUUUGUCAAAGAAGUUUGGAAAAUAUUGAAGGUUGCAUAUGAAGGCACUACAAAAGUGAAAAUAUCCACAUUACAGUUGGUAACCUCAAAAUUUGAAGCUUUAAAAAUAUCUGAAGAUGAGUUUGUAGCUGAAUAUAACGAGAGAGUUUUGAAAAUAGCCAAUGAAUCAUUCAAUCUUGGAGAAAAGAUUUCUGAAUCCAAGAUAGUGCGAAAAGUGUUACAUUCUCUGUCUGGAAAAUUUGACAUGAAGGUUACAACUAUACAGGAAGCACAUAACAUAACUAAGCUAAAACUGGAUGAACUAUUUGGGUCUCUUCUCACGUUUGAAAUAGCCAUAUCAAACAGAGAAAAUAAAAAGGGUAAAGGUGUUGCUUUUUAAAUCGGUAUAUGAAGAAGAGUCAAUUGACAAUAAAUCUUCAAGUGAAGCAAAUGUAAACGAGUCCAUAGCUCUUCUAACAAAACAAUUUUCUAGAGUGGUAAAGAAGUUCAGAGAUUUGAAUACAGUUGGAUCCAACUCUAGAAACUCAAUUAACUUCAGAAGAAGAGAUGGUGAAAGCUAUAAUAGAAGGGAUAAUGAAGAUUCUAAUAGAAGGGAUGGUGACAACUUUCGAAGAAGAGAUGGUGAAGGCAAAAUUUCAAAUGUAGGGAGUGUGGAGGAGUUGACCAUUAUCAGGUUGAAUGCUCUACAUUUUAAGAAAGAAAAAGAAGAAUUUUUGUGCUACAUUAUCUGAUGAAGACACUGAUGAUGGUGGUAUAAAUCCAUUCAUUGUAAAUAUAACCGAGACUAAUUCUGUAGUUGAAGAUGAAAGUGAAGAUACUCAAGGAGAAAGUGAAAGUGACUUGACCUUUGACCAGUUGAAGACUAAAUGGAUAGAAGAUUUAGAAGCCAGAGCUUUACAGAAAGAAAAAAAUACAGUCUCAUAUGUUUAUUGUCAGUAAUAUAUUCUCUAAAACAAAAAUUAAAGGAGGUUCAGACAUAAUAUUAUCAGACUGUGAAAUCUGUUAAAAUGUUAAAUUUGGUCUCUAAAAAUCUAGAUCAAAUACUGAGUUCAGGACAGUCUUGUUCCAACUGAUGUGGUCUUGGGUUUAACUCAUCAGUAAAGAGUAUUAGUCAAGCAAAUGAAAUAAAGUUUGUUCCUACUACUGUGAGCAUCAAAUCUGAUCUACUAGUUCAAAUAAAAGCUGUUAGCUCUUCCAUAAAAACAGAUAACUGGGUGUGCCAUUUUUAUGGUAAAAAAGGUCAUAUUCGUCCUUUUUGCUAUGCCUUACAAAGGUAUAAAGUUCAUUAUCAGAGAGUUACUUAUCACUCAUUGAAGCACAAACUAAACUCAUUUACUUAAAGAAGCAAGAGAAGCUAUAACGAAUGGAGAGUCAAGAAUUUGAGAAAGUGUAAUAUUGCCUUCACAACAGUUUACUCUUCAACUGAUGUUUGGUAUUUUGAUAGUGGUUGCACCAAACACAUGACUGGAAAUAGAUCAUUCUUUUCUGAACUGAAAGAGUGUACCUCUGGACAUGUUAAGUUUGGAGAUGGUGCAAAAGGAAGAAUCUUGGCAAAAGGAAAUAUAGACAAAUAUAAUCUACCAUGUCUAAGGGAUGUAAAAUAUGUUGAAGGGCUCAAGGAAAACCUAAUUAGUGUCAGUCAACUUUGUGAUCAAGGUUACCUUGUAAAUUUCAACAAAGAUAAUUGCAUAGUGACUGGUGCAGAUAAAAGAGUUCUUAUGACUGGCUGUAGACAAGCUGAUAAUUGUUACCAUUGGGUAUUAAACAAUACUAAUGUAUGUCACUCAAUCAAAGAAGAUCAAACUCGACUAUGGCACAGGAGACUUGGAAUGUGCUAGUUUAAGUAGUAUUGAUAAAGCUAUAAAGAAUGAGGCUAUCGUAGGGAUUUCAAACAUUGAGUCAAACAGUAAGCUCUUUUAUGAUGGUUGUCAAUUAGGAAAGCAAAUCAGGGCAUCUCACAAAAGAAUAAAUGAGUGUUAUACAAACAGAGUUCUAGAAUUGUUACAUAUGGAUUUGAUAGGUCCUAUGCAAACUGAGAGUCUUGGAGGGAAGAAAUAUAUGUUAGUAGUUGUGGAUGAUUUCUCUCGCUUCACUAGAGUAAGAUUUCUCUGAGGAAAAUCAGAUACUGCUAAAGUAUGCAUCAAUUUAUGCUUAAGCCUUCAGCGUGAACAAGAGAAGAAUAUUGUUUGAAUCAGGAGUGAUCAUGGAAAGGAAUUUGAGAAUGAAGAAUUGAAUAGUUUUUGUGAAAUAGAAGGGAUACAUCAUUAAUACUCAUCACCUCUAACACCAUAGCAAAAUGGAGUAGUAGAGAGAAAGAACCUAACGUUACAAGAGAUGGCUCAAGUUAUGAUUCAUGCUAAAUCUCUCUGCCACUAUAGUUUUAGGUUGAAGCUGUAAGUAUUGCUUGUCAUAUUCACAAUAGAAUUACUACUCAUUCUGGAACUACUGUAAAUGAUUUAUGAAAGGGCAGAAAACCAAAUAUUAAGUGUUUUCGUGUCUUUGGAAGUACUUAUUAUAUUCUUGCUAAUAGAGGGUAUUACAGAAAAUGGGAUGCUAAAUUAGAAAAAGGGAUUUUUUUAGGAUAUUCUCAUAAUAGUCGUUCUUAUAGAGUAUUCAAUAAUAGAACUAGAGUGGUUACAGAAACUAUUAAUGAGUUUUGAAUGAUAAUGAGCAAACGUUAUACAGACAAACAGAUGAUGAUGAUGUUCUACCACCUAAACCUUCUGUUGCACCUGAAUCAACUGUUGCUUCACAGUUGAUACAAGUGUAAAUAACUUUGAUGAUAGCUCUAAAUCAAUUCAAAGAAGGAAGUAAUGGCGGAUGUAAGUGAAAAUAUACCAUCUUCACAUGUCUAAAAGAAUCAUCCAUCAAGUUCCAUAAUUGAAGAUCCCUUAGCUGGGAUUAGUACCAGGAAAAAUGACAAGAUUUAUUUUGCAAAGAUGAUUGCUAAUAUUUGCUACACCUCAUCUAUUGAACUUACAUUCGUGAAUGAAGCUCUCAAAGAUGAGUUCUGAUGCAAUGUGGAAGGAAUUAUUGCAAUUCAAAUGAAAUAAUGUGUGGAAUUUGGUUCCUAAACCUGAGGAAGCAAACAUCAUAGGAACUAAAUGGAGAUUUAAAAAUAAAACAGAUGAGAAAGAACAAGUAAUAUGAAACAAGGCCUAAUUAGUUGCCCAAUGCUACUUUCAGGUGGAAGGUGUAGAUUUUGAUGAAACCUUUACACUUGUAGCCAGACUUGAAGCUAUAAGCCUGUUACUCAGCAUAUCGUGUGUUCGUAAGUUCAAACUAUAUCAGAUGGAUGUUAAAAGUGCCUUCCUGAAUUGGUACUUGAAUGAAGAAGUUUAUGUAGUUUAGCCCAAGGGCUUUGUUGAUCCAAUGUAUCCUCAACAUGUGUAUGAACUCAAUAAAGCUUUAUAUGGUCUAAAGCAAGCAACCAGAGCGUGGUAUGAACAACUCAUGAUUUAUCUUGUUUAUAAAGGACACUCCAGAGGAGGUGUUGACAAUA